Molecule: long non-coding RNA, 267 nt
Filed under: Malus domestica (apple)
Lineage: Eukaryota; Viridiplantae; Streptophyta; Magnoliopsida; Rosales; Rosaceae
Description: long non-coding RNA (MDOM_LNC001173)
Source: RNAcentral
UGGUUCUCCAAUGCGGCAAAAAAUAAUUGGUGAAAAAUAUUUAAAAAUAUGGAUGAAUAGGGUGUAAUUUUUUUUAUUUUUUAUUUUUAUCGUUAUACAUAUUUACAACACCUUAAUAAAGUGUGUUCUUUAAUUCAUUGUUUAUGUAAUGGAGGAUGAACUGAACAGUGGAUCAAAUGUUGACUUUAUUUUAGCCCUUUAAUAUCUUUGAUGGGUGGUCUUCAAAGCUUAACGGCUUGAUGGUAGUACUUAUUAUUCAGCAAUUAU